CUCGUUAAUUAUUAAUUAACUAUUAAUCACAUUGCCAGUAAUCAAAUAUCAAACAAACAUAAAAGCUAAUUUUGUAUACUUUUAUUUUUUCUCUCAUAAAUGUAAUUAGUACGAUUGGUAUAACGAUUAUUAGCUCAAUAAUAUAGCGAAUCGUGACCGUUGUUUCACAGAUUCGCGCGCGGAAACUCGAAACUCGAUUUGUGAGCUGUUUAAUUUUCACUAGUUAUUCAUUAGCCAGUUACCAACUCGUUAUUACGGACCAGUGAAUUAUUGCACGCGUAUACUGGCUUGUGGCAUACGUGUUCGUCGUGAAACCACGAUUUCCGGCUCUCUUCACGCGCCACACCGCAAACGAGCAGAUUUUGGCGUACGCUCAACGCUAUUAAAUGUCCGAUGAAGACGUAACGAUUAUGGGAAAAAUCGACGAGUUUUUGAGGUUAGAUUAGCGAACAUCGGGAAAUCCUAUUAUGGUAACGAACCGUUGAAUCCAGUUACACGUUACGAUUAUGUGGAUUAAAAGGAGAAUAGUAUAAAUCUUAACAAAAGACAAAAUCUUUAAUUUGAGAAAACUGUGAAUGAAGUUUGAUCUUAAUAGUGUAUUAACAGGAUAAUAAAUGUUACAAAAUUUUAAUUAUAAUUUAUAAUAUAAUUAUAAUUUAUAAUAUAUUCUUAUUAUGUAUAACAUAUUUUUAUAUUAAUAAUAACGAAUCAAUUUAUGAUUUUUAAUUUUUAUAGCUGCAAUUUUAAGAGUGCUUCGUUAUUCAUUUUUUUUUCAAUUAUAUAGAUAUAUAGAAAUCAUAGUAAAUUAUUCGAUAAAGUUGAGAUCCAUUCCAAAAUUUAUAUUUUUGAAUCUAGAUCAAUUCUAAUAUAAACGGAAUUCGAUUAUUCAGAAAAGAUGAUGUUCUAAUUUCAAUAUUUACAAAGUGCUCAUUUGGAUUGUAUAAAUCGGUUUUGAACUUCAAAAUAUAUAUAGCUUCCAAAAGUCUACUUGUAAAUAUUUUGAUAUUUAGAAAAAUCGAAUGUAUAUCAUAAAAAUGAUACUUGAACUCUGUAUCUGUAAAGGAAAGAAAAAUGUGCAUGUAAAAAUAAAAUAAAGUAAUAUUAUCGCGUUUAUUUAAAUUAAAAUUAAAAAAUAAAUAUAGAGUCCAAUUUCAUCCAUAUAAAUUUACUUAAUAAAAUUUUACGCAACAAACACCGAUUCUACUCUCGUAUAUGACUAGUAUAAUUGAACUUAACGAGAGCUAUUAUAUUUCGAAAAACAUUGGAAAAAAUAUUACACUGUAAAUACUGAUUUUACAAGCUGUAUUGUACCGCUUAAAAAUUCUCUGAAAGUAAAGUUACAUUAAUAGAGUUAUAUUUUUUGAUGAAAUAAUUCUUGUUUAAAUAAUUUGUAUAAUUUUUUUUGUUUUAUACUAUUCUCAACAAACUAUAUAAUUAUUUACAUUGAAAAUAUAUUACAUAUAUUAAUUACAAAUAACGUAUCAAAUAUUACAACUAUUUCUAUAGAAAAAAUAAUAGAAAUAUAUACAAUACGUUUGUUAGAAAUAAAUUAAAUAUUACAUUCCUAUGAAUACUUAAAUUUAUGUAUAAAUAUCAUAAUUAUAAUAUUCAUAUAUUGAAUUUCUAUAUUAUCAAUCUAUUAUCUCAAAAAUUUAUUAUCUUGAUUAAUCAAAAAUACGAAAUAAAGUCAAAAAUAAAAUGAACAUUAAAUUAAUAAAAAAUUAAAAUACAUUUAUUUAAAUAAUUUAUAUUAAUAUUUUAUGGAUUUGCUCUUUGCAAAAAUAUUUCAGAUCGGAAUUAACACGUUAUAUUAAUUUGCAUCAUUAUUAUUCCACUUUGUCAAAUUUAAUAUAACUCCAUAAUUAUAUAAUCUUAACUAUAUAAAUGAAAUAAUGAUUAUCUCUUAAAUAUAAUAUUUCUUAAUUUAUAAAUUUAUAGAUCAAUUUCAAUCAAUAUAAACUAACACUAAUAUGGCAAAAAAAAUUUUAUUUAAAAAAUACCAGAGAUUACUAAUUUUCUUCGUUUCUUAAAUUAAGGUAUACGAAAAUUCCACGAAUACCUUUUCUCCUUAUUUCGAUAAUCUAAAAGGAAAAUUCGCAGAGGGUAUUGAGGAUGCGACGAAACGCGACCAAUGACGAUAAUUCUUAGAUCAUAAUUCCAUUCGAGCCGGGGAAAGAUCCGGAGCAAGGAACACCGCAAUUGCUGAAUUGCGGAAGUGGGGGACGAUGUUCAGGGAACGAAGAGGGAAUUUCCUGUUGUUCCUAUGUCACUCUUAGGAACGAAGGAAAUUUAAUUAGUUGAGAAGCUAAACCUACCAAUGCCAUGUGCAUUCGAACGUAUCGUUCGAAACGACGACACCGGAAGCGUGGAACGAAAGAGGAGAUGAAGAUGUAAUGAUAUUUUGUAGAAGAAAAACAGAGAGGAAAAAAAAAGAGAGAAAAAGUAAGAAGAAAUGAUAACACAAAAAAAAAUUGUAUAUUUACAAAGAAGAGAAAAAAUAUAAUCUUCCGAUUAUUUUAUGCAUAAUUUACAAAAAUAUUUAAAUCCAUUAAAAAUAGUUAAAUCGAUUUAUUUUAAUAGAAUUUUUUCGUUAUAUUUUUCAAUUAAAAAAUUAUCAAAGUGAAACAAUAGCGUAUCAAAGAUAAAGCAAAAAAUUGAAUUUUCAAUUGGCUCUAUAAUUUCUACGAACAAUUUCCAUUUAACCAAAGGUUUUUCUUUACAUUUCUGUCGUGAUUGUUUGAAUACAAUUGUCUUCGUUCCGUUUAUUCUGCUACGAAAAUAAUUGGAGCUCGUGUCUGUCGCAUAGUGAAGAGUUGUGUAAAUCACAUUAGACACCAUUUUAAGGGUAAUGAGUUGAGAAACGAAGCUGAAUAAAAAGGUGCAUCUCUUCUUUUUUACUUUAUUUUUUUUCUCUUUAUUUUUACUAGAUAUAAUUUUAAAUUUACGUAACUCGAAAUUUUCUCGAAAUUCUCAAAACUCUUAAAUUCUUUAUUUCUUUAUUUUUUCUUUUUUUUCUUUUCUAAUAAAUAUUUUAUCGAGGAAGUAAUCUUAAAAAACAAUCUUAUUUUUUCCCUAGAUAUCUCGAUCUAGAUCUUUCAUUUUCUUCUGCUUCUCCUAUUUUUCCUUCUUUUUCAUUUUUUUUUUUUUUUCAUUUGUAGGUAAAAAGACGAAUGUUUCUUUGAACGGAGGGCCAACAGGCAUUCUUCGAGAUACAAUAAUGCAUUCGCGGGUACACAGUGAGCACGAUGUGUAAUUAGUCACUCGUCAGAGACUGCUUGAACAAUGGAGUCAACGUAUCCUCGCCAUUUCCUUGCAUUAUCUCUGUUGUACAACGCUAUCUGAGCCAACUGCGCUUGAUUAGCACGGAUUACGACAAACGUAAUUGAUACACGCGCCGAUGCAGUGAUCAGAUUACGUUUCAAACGUAUCUUCUCUUCAAGUGUCUACGUUCUAGUUGAAGUAAACUGUUAGUAACAUCAUUACAAAGCAUAGAAACAAGAAUUGAAUUAAUAUAAUAUUCUAGAUUUUAAGAUAUUAAGAUGUAAUACACAUAAUACGCGAAAAAUUGUUUAUUAAAUAAAUUUUAAUCUUUUAACAUUUUUAUAAUGGGAAAAAAAUUCUUCAGAAUAAUUUAAAUCAGAAAAAGGAUACGGAAAAAGCGUACCAGUAUCUCUUAUCUUACUAUGGCAGAAGGUUGACAGAGCUAGAAAUAUAGGUCAGAAAGAUCUUUCUUGCUGAUGGCGUGUUUCUUCACUGAACGUAUUAUAUAUACAUAUAUAACAGUAGCAGUAGUGGUACAACCAUACGUAUGAGCUUCCACGUACCAGAGGUUUAUAAAAUAUAUUUCGUAAUAACGUAUAUAACUUAUGAUAAAAUGAUUUUGCAUGAAUAGAUAAAAUUUAUAAUUCACAUAUAUAAAUAAAACGAUAAAUAUAUUUAA
Apis cerana (Asiatic honeybee) is the source of this 3940-nucleotide long non-coding RNA. RefSeq lists it as uncharacterized. NCBI's taxonomy places the organism in Eukaryota, Metazoa, Arthropoda, Insecta, Hymenoptera, Apidae. The record is from RefSeq and is a predicted model, not a curated record.